This 254-nucleotide ribosomal RNA is filed under the name uncultured bacterium. RNAcentral describes it as "partial 16S ribosomal RNA". It matches the Rfam family "Bacterial small subunit ribosomal RNA", at positions 524 to 776 of the family's 1533-position model. The record is from RNAcentral.
UACGUAGGGGGCAAGCGUUGUCCGGAUUUAUUGGGCGUAAAGAGCUCGUAGGCGGUUUGGUAAGUCGGAUGUGAAAUCUCCAGGCUCAACCUGGAGUGGUCAUUCGAUGCUGCCAUGACUAGAGUUCGGUAGGGGAGUGUGGAAUUCCUGGUGUAGCAGUGAAAUGCGUAGAGAUCAUGAGGAAGACCAGUGGCGAAGGCGGGUCUCUGGACAGUUCCUGACACUGAGGCACGAAGGCCAGGGGAGCAAACGGG